RNAcentral lists this transfer RNA (68 nucleotides) under Marmota monax (woodchuck). Its description in RNAcentral is "tRNA.Ala". The stretch from base 5 to 65 matches the Rfam family "tRNA", at positions 6 to 65 of the family's 71-position model. Rfam says of the family: Transfer RNA (tRNA) molecules are approximately 80 nucleotides in length. Lineage: Eukaryota; Metazoa; Chordata; Mammalia; Rodentia; Sciuridae. The record is from RNAcentral.
GGAUUGUGGUUCAGUGGUAGAACGCUCACCUAGCACAUGUGAGGCCCUGGGUUCAAACCUCAGCACCA